UGCAGUCGCAACGAGACGGAUUAUGGCUUGCUUUAAUUGUCAGCUAAGUGGCGCACGGGCGAGUAAUAUAUAGGUAACAUGCCUUCGAGAAGGGGAUAACGUUUGGAAACGGACGCUAAUACCCUAUAUGCCUUUAAGUCUUAAGACUGCAAGGGAAAUAUUUAUAGCUCGAAGAUUGGCCUGCACAGUAUCAGUUAGUUGGUGAGGUAAUGGCUCACCAAGACAAUGACGCUUAACUGGUUUGAGAGGAUGAUCAGUCACACUGGAACUGAGACACGGUCCAGACUCCUACGGGAGGCAGCAGUGGGGAAUAUUGCACAAUGGACGAAAGUCUGAUGCAGCAACGCCGCGUGGAGGAUGACACAUUUCGGUGCGUAAACUCCUUUUAUAUAGGAAGAUAAUGACGGUACUAUAUGAAUAAGCACCGGCUAACUCCGUGCCAGCAGCCGCGGUAAUACGGAGGGUGCAAGCGUUACUCGGAAUCACUGGGCGUAAAGAGAAUGUAGGCGGAUAGAUAAGUUUGAAGUGAAAUCCAAUGGCUCAACCAUUGAGCUGCUUUGAAAACUGUUUACCUAGAAUAUGGGAGAGGUAGAUGGAAUUUCUGGUGUAGGGGUAAAAUCCGUAGAGAUCGGAAGGAAUACCGAUUGCGAAGGCGAUCUACUGGAACAUUAUUGACGCUGAGAU
This 684-nucleotide ribosomal RNA is filed under the name uncultured Arcobacter sp. RNAcentral describes it as "bacterial SSU rRNA". It matches the Rfam family "Bacterial small subunit ribosomal RNA", at positions 56 to 752 of the family's 1533-position model. The record is from RNAcentral. Lineage: Bacteria; Pseudomonadati; Campylobacterota; Epsilonproteobacteria; Campylobacterales; Arcobacteraceae.